GAUAUUAUCGAUUUGUUGUUUCUACACUGUAAAAAAAAAAGGUUUCCAAAAAAGGUUUUUCACACUUGCAUAAGGUUUUCUACCACUAGAAAACCUUUUGGUGUGUAAAAAAAGGUUUUUUGAAAGGGUUUUAUUAGAAAACCCUUUAGCAAAGGGUUUGUUCGUCGUAAAUCAUAUAAAAAACCCGAGUGCCGUUUAUUGAUAUCGAGGCAUAAUUAAAGAAGGAUAAAAAUAGAAAGGGUUUUAAAUAAAAUUACAAUUGCCUAGAAAUAUGAUAUUUUAAAUAAAAUAAAUAGUAUUUUUAUUUUAUUAUACUUAAAAUUGUAUUUUGUUAAAAUUUUUAAAGUAAAAUACGCAAAAUUGUAUACUUUUUAAGUUAACCGAUUUAUCUAUGAGAUUCCUAUAGGUCAAUUAAAAUAUUUUUACAAUUUUAAAGUAAAGCUAAUAAUUAAAAUUUAAAGUAAAACUAAUAAUAAAGUUAAAGAAUUAUGUCUGCAAAUAUUAAAAACUGGUCGCCUGCAGAAGUAGCCAAAUAGCUGUUAGAUAAUGGAUUUAAUGAAAAGACUGCAGCCGAAUUUGAAAAUUCCUGAUAAUAUACAAUAGCCAAAUAUGCCCCAAUUUUAUUGUGAAUGUGGCAACAAUUAUUUUUCAUUUGGAAAGUAAAUACUUUCCAUCUUUCCAUCAACGACAUCUUAUCUUGUUUCAUGAAAAUCAGCCUCUUUUUUACGUUAGAUGUGUUUCAAGUGCAUGCAAGCAAACUUUCAAAAGUGCUAAUAGUCUAAAAAAACAUGUUCAAUGAAAGCACAGUAAUUUAUUUAGAAGCUGGUCUAAUGAUAAUGAAAGAGAUCAGGGGAGUAGAAAUAAUAGAAAUGAUAACAUCAUAGAUUCAUCUGAAACAACCGAAGAAUCAAAUGAUCAAAAUAAUGUAAAGUUAGAUCAAGAUUUUAAAUGUAAAAAUAUUGCUGAUAUGCUUAACACUUUGGAAAAACAUUUUGCAUUUCUUCUUUGCGACUCAGAGAAGUGCACAUACUUCCAGCUUCUGUUCAUGCAGAAAUUGCAAAAGAUAUACAAAACCUACUUUUGAUUACACUAAGUAGUUUUAAGGAUGUUAUAUGUCAAUAUUUAUUCAAAAAUAAUAUUUUACCACUAGACAAUGAUUGGGCACAUAUAACAGACACAGAAAGAUUGCUGCAAUUCAUGGGUGAGAUGUCUUCAAAUGAAAAUAGACUAAUUGGAUUAUUGAAAAGCAAAAAAAUGAUUGCAAUGCCAAGACAAAUAGAUUUUAGAAAAAAUAAUACAACUGCUGUUUUUCAAUACAUUCUGAUUCUAGAAGUUUUAUCAAAAUUAGUUUCCCAUGAAGAUGUUUACAAUUGUUUGGGUGACAGUUACAAUCAGUCUUUUUCUAAUAAUGAUUUUAUGAUGUCUUUUUGUGACAGUGAACUUUUUCAUAGUGACAAUUUUUUUUCUGAAAAUCCAAGUGCAUUGCAGAUUCAGUUAUAUGUAGAUGUUGAGCUUUGCAAUCCAAUAGGAGCUAAGCGAGGGAAGCAUAAAGUGACUGCAUUUUAUUUUUUGUUAGGCAAUAUUCCAUCUAAGUUUCGUUCAAAGCAAAAGUUUAUUCAUUUGGCUUUAUUGAUUGAACAUAAAUUUAUAAAAAUGGCCGAAUAUGACUACACUGAAGUUCUUCAUCCAUUAAUUUAUGAUUUAAAUGUACUGCAGAGAAAAGGAAUUGAGAUUUCCGUUAAUGGAUUACGUCAACGUUUAAAAGGCAAACUUACAGGUAUAUCAGCUGAUAUGCUUUCAGCUCAUGCUAUAGGAGGAUUUUAGCAGUAUUUCCAUACUGGAAGAAUUUGUCGUUUCUGUAUGGUGGACAAGUCAGAAGUUGGAAAUAACUUUAGUGAAAGCACUCUUCGUCUCAGAACACCAGAAAUUCAUGAAUACCACUUAGCUGCUAUAAUUGAUAAUGCAGCAAACAAGAAUGUGUAUGGUGUUAGCAAAAAGUGUGAUUUUUUAGAGUUAGAUAACUUUGAUGUACUUACAGCUUUCCCUCCAGAUAUAAUGCAUGAUUUAUUUGAAGGCAUUAUGCCAGUAACUUUGAAAUGUGUUAUCAAACAUUUGUUACGUUCUUGUAAUACAUUAUCAGUAAAUAAUAUAAACGAUUCUAUAAACAAAAUUCAUUUAAUUCAUCUAAUCGCCCUUGCCAAUUACCUAAAAACAUUGCAUCAGAUAAAGCACACAUAAAUGGAACAGCUGUACAGAAAUUAGAACUUUUCCUAUUGUUUCUGCAGUUAGUCGGUAAUGAUGUACCACAUGGAAAUAUUGGCUGGGAGGUUUAUCUUAUACUUCGUGAAAUAUGUGACAUUGUUAUUGCCCCAAUUGUAGAUAGUGACAGUAUAUACAUGUUAGAAGAACUAGUUGCUAUGUUUUUGAAAACAUUUUCUGAAGUAUUUGGUUCUGAAUAUAUUAUUCCAAAAAUGCACAUGCUUGUUCAUUACCCUCGUCUGAUACGUCUUUUUGGGCCUUUACGAAAUUUUUGGUGUUUACGAUUUGAAUCUAAACAUCAGUAUUUUAAAAAAGCUGCCUCAAAUGGACGAUAUUUUAAGAAUAUUACCAAAACAUUGUCAAAGCGUCAUCAAAUGUUGCAGUGCUGAGAAAUGCUGACAGGUGAUAUGCUUUUAUCUAAUUAUACUGUGUCUGGAAACGCACCUAGAUUUUUUCAUAACUUGGAUGUUAAAGUACAAGAAGCUAUAAGAUUGUUACUUAAUUUAGAUAUAGAAGGGAAUGAAUCCAUAGUUAUAGCGAAAUCAAUAUCAGUUGUAUAUAUUUAUAGUUGUAUAUAUAUAUAUAGUUGUAUAUAUCAUAUGUAAUAAUGUAUAUACAUAUUACUUGCUAUAACCUUGUAUAAUUACUUUAAUGUGAUAUUAUUUAAAUGUCAAAAGUAUAUCAUGUCAAAAAUGUAUAUUUUGGUUACUGUUCACAAGCUGAUUGUUGUAAGAUAAUAUACCACUCUAUGUACAGUUGUAACUUCUUUUUAUUAGUUGGCUAAUGUGGUACAAGGUGAGGAUGACAUAAGCAUAAAAAAACAUCAAGAUGCUUUAAAAAAUGAAAUAAAAAAACAGACACCAAGCUUUGAUAUAAUCAAAGAUAAAAUGAAAAGAACUUGUGAGUACAGACAACUUUUCUGCCAUACCCACACAACUGCAGAAGUUCUGGAAGAAUUUCCGUGUUUACGACUAAAUAUUUUUUUUACAGCAGAUGUGCUUUUGCUGUAUGGUGUAGAUGUAACCAAUUUAAAAAUAAAAUUUCUAACCCUUUAUGAUGGUGUGAUCAAAGAAGCAGCCAAAAGAUGCAAAAAAUAUUGUGAAUAUUCAAGAAUGAUAAACAAAUAUUUAGAAAAAACUUUGGACAAUGAUAAACAACAGGAUUGGAAGGUGAUGUUUGUUACAUUGCUGUUACCCUCAUUAUUUGGGGAGAAAGAAGAGUUGUUUUUUCCCUUACCAAAGCAGCUAAUACCACUUAGUCCAGUCAUAUUGUCACAAGACGACGAGUGGAAUAUAUCAGUCGACAAGGAAGUUUUGUUUCUUAAAACUAUUUGCACUUUUUCCGCGGCUUUUCAAGCAUGGUUUGCAGCAUUUUGGAUAUUCAGCAUUGAAUUCCCAAAAGGAUUGUCCAAUACAUGUCAAUUUUUAGAAAAAGUGCUUCUUGGUGGGAAAGGAAAAGUGCCAAAUAUUGUCAGCAAAUGGGGCAACCGUCUUUUGCACUAAAAUAUGACUUUUGUUUUUUUGUCUGUUUUUGUUGUAAAUCUUUAUAAUUUAUUUAUGUUUUUUUGUCACUAAAUUCGAAAAAACUUCUGAAUAUUUGCAAUAUUUCUAAA
This is a non-coding RNA of Hydra vulgaris (swiftwater hydra), 3871 nucleotides long. Lineage: Eukaryota; Metazoa; Cnidaria; Hydrozoa; Anthoathecata; Hydridae. The record is from RefSeq and is a predicted model, not a curated record.